GCUGCCGUUUCACUAUAAAUGGAAAACAUGGAAGAUUGUUGUUUUAUUUUUAUUUUUUUUAAAUGUAUAUAGCCGCCAUCAAAGUGCUUCACGGAACACAGUGACUGUUAUCCCCCUUGUCCUGUUGAUGAUAGAUCAUCUGAGUGAUUGCUCAAGGCAUGAAGUCAUCUGACCAGUCUCAUCCUGCCAGAGUAAACAACCCUUCAUGAGCAGAAGCUGCAAAUGGGGCCGGGUCCUGGUGCAGUUCCGGCUGUUCCUGCGAUCCUUAUCAACAAUCAGAGAAGCUGAUCAUUUGAUGGAAGAUUGAGUUCAAUACAGGGAAAUCCUGGAGGAAAACCUGGAAGACCUCAAUGAUCUGACAAGGAGCCAAGGCUUCGUCCAUGGUAGUACAUGAAGUUUCACCGGCUGUCAGCGGCUGUCGGCUGUAUUCAUCCCCUUCAACGACUGCAACUCGUCUGUCCGCUCCAAGUCUGCCAAGAGUGGGGAAAACUUUUGCAGUGACAGGCUUGUCGUUUGUUCAACGGCUUCAAAGAUGUUUUUCGUUCACGUGGCUUCGUAGUUUCUCAGGUCUCGUAGUUUUGGGAAUCAUCCGGACUCAGCUGAUCAGACGAUCUGACACCAGACCUCCACCAACGCAUGGUAGCGUCACGUGGUAACACAGACGCUGCUGUGGAGUGAGGAUGUUUAACGCAGCAUUGGAUUGAUAUGAGCAUUUUUCGUUUGAAUUGCUUUUAGUUGCCAAAACCUAAAGCAGGAGGGUUAGUCUGGGUAUUUCUUAACCACACCUGUUCACAUUUUACUGAUUUCCAAAUUUACUGGAAUAUGACAUCUUUCUGCUCCAGCUAAGGGAGUUAUUACAUAUAAUUACUCCACAGACACUAAAUCAGAAAAUUAAAUAAAUCUGUUCCUUAUGUAAUAGUGUA
Molecule: long non-coding RNA, 923 nt
Organism: Fundulus heteroclitus (mummichog)
Lineage: Eukaryota; Metazoa; Chordata; Actinopteri; Cyprinodontiformes; Fundulidae
Exons: 3
Source: RefSeq, a predicted model, not a curated record